RNAcentral lists this transfer RNA (72 nucleotides) under Bos taurus (domestic cattle). It matches the Rfam family "tRNA". Rfam says of the family: Transfer RNA (tRNA) molecules are approximately 80 nucleotides in length. Their secondary structure includes four short double-helical elements and three loops (D, anti-codon, and T loops). Further hydrogen bonds mediate the characteristic L-shaped molecular structure. tRNAs have two regions of fundamental functional importance: the anti-codon, which is responsible for specific mRNA codon recognition, and the 3' end, to which the tRNAs corresponding amino acid is attached (by aminoacyl-tRNA synthetases). tRNAs cope with the degeneracy of the genetic code in two manners: having more than one tRNA (with a specific anti-codon) for a particular amino acid; and 'wobble' base-pairing, i.e. permitting non-standard base-pairing at the 3rd anti-codon position. RNAcentral also lists the same sequence under 2 other names. The record is from Rfam by way of RNAcentral. Lineage: Eukaryota; Metazoa; Chordata; Mammalia; Artiodactyla; Bovidae.
UCCCUUGUAGCUCAGUCGGUAAAGAAUCUGCCUGCAAUGCAGCAGACCCGGGUUCAAUUCCUGGGUUGGGAA